UAGGCGGGCGCAGCUUACCAUGCAGUCGAGCGGUAACAGGGGUAGCUUGCUACCCGCUGACGAGCGGCGGACGGGUGAGUAAUGCAUAGGAAACUGCCCAGUAGUGGGGGAUAGCCCGGGGAAACCCGGAUUAAUACCGCAUACGUCCUUCGGGAGAAAGCAGGGGAUCUUCGGACCUUGCGCUAUUGGAUGUGCCUAUGUCGGAUUAGCUGGUUGGUGAGGUAAUGGCUCACCAAGGCGACGAUCCGUAGCUGGUCUGAGAGGAUGAUCAGCCACAUCGGGACUGAGACACGGCCCGAACUCCUACGGGAGGCAGCAGUGGGGAAUAUUGGACAAUGGGGGCAACCCUGAUCCAGCCAUGCCGCGUGUGUGAAGAAGGCUUUCGGGUUGUAAAGCACUUUCAGUGAGGAGGAAAAGUUAGUCCUUAAUACGGGCUAGCCUUGACGUUACUCACAGAAGAAGCACCGGCUAACUCCGUGCCAGCAGCCGCGGUAAUACGGAGGGUGCAAGCGUUAAUCGGAAUUACUGGGCGUAAAGCGCGCGUAGGUGGUUUGAUAAGCGAGAUGUGAAAGCCCCGGGCUUAACCUGGGAACGGCAUUUCGAACUGUCAGGCUAGAGUGUGGUAGAGGGUAGUGGAAUUUCCUGUGUAGCGGUGAAAUGCGUAGAUAUAGGAAGGAACACCAGUGGCGAAGGCGGCUACCUGGACCAACACUGACACUGAGGUGCGAAAGCGUGGGGAGCAAACAGGAUUAGAUACCC
Molecule: ribosomal RNA, 759 nt
Filed under: Marinobacter sp.
Lineage: Bacteria; Pseudomonadati; Pseudomonadota; Gammaproteobacteria; Pseudomonadales; Marinobacteraceae
Description: bacterial SSU rRNA
Rfam family: Bacterial small subunit ribosomal RNA
Source: RNAcentral